This 253-nucleotide ribosomal RNA is filed under the name uncultured bacterium. RNAcentral's name for it is "partial 16S ribosomal RNA". It matches the Rfam family "Bacterial small subunit ribosomal RNA", at positions 524 to 776 of the family's 1533-position model. The record is from RNAcentral.
UACGGGGGGGGCAAGCGUUGUUCGGAAUUACUGGGCGUAAAGGGCGCGUAGGCGGCCUGCUAAGUCACACGUGAAAUCCCUCGGCUCAACCGGGGAACUGCGUGUGAUACUGGCGGGCUCGAAUUCGGGAGAGGGAUGUGGAAUUCCAGGUGUAGCGGUGAAAUGCGUAGAUAUCAGGAGGAACACCGGUGGCGAAGGCGGGUCUCUGGGCCGAUACUGACGCUGAGGAGCGAAAGCGUGGGGAGCGAACAGG